AGCAGCCGCGGUAAUUCCAGCUCCAAUAGCGUAUAUUAAAGUUGUUGCAGUUAAAAAGCUCGUAGUUGAAUUUCGGGGUUAGUAGGUUGGUCAUGCCUCUGGUAUGUACUGGUCUCACUGAUUCCUCCUUCCUGAUGAACCGUAAUGCCAUUAAUUUGGUGUUGCGGGGAAUUUGGACUGUUACUUUGAAAAAUUAGAGUGUUUAAAGCAAGCUAACGCUUGAAUACAUUAGCAUGGAAUAAUGAAAUAGGACGUUCGAUCCUAUUUUGUUGGUUUCUAGGAUUGACGUAAUGAUUAAUAGGGAUAGUUGGGGGCAUUAGUAUUCAAUUGUCAGAGGUGAAAUUCUUGGAUUUAUUGAAGACUAACUACUGCGAAAGCAUUUGCCAAGGAUGUUUUCAUUAAUCAAGAACGAAAGUUAGGGGAUCGAAGACGAUCAGAUACCGUCGUAGUCUUAACCAUAAACUAUGCCGACUAGGGAUCGGAUGAUGUUAAUUUUUAAUGUA
This 503-nucleotide small RNA is filed under the name uncultured Glomus. Its description in RNAcentral is "SSU rRNA". It matches the Rfam family "Eukaryotic small subunit ribosomal RNA", at positions 569 to 1078 of the family's 1831-position model. Lineage: Eukaryota; Fungi; Glomeromycota; Glomeromycetes; Glomerales; Glomeraceae. The record is from RNAcentral.